ACGAACGCUGGCGGCGUGCUUAACACAUGCACGUCGAACGGAAAGGCCCUGCUUGCAGGGUACUCGAGUGGCGAACGGGUGAGUAACACGUGGGUGAUCUGCCCUGCACUUCGGGAUAAGCCUGGGAAACUGGGUCUAAUACCGGAUAUGACCUUCCAUGUAGUGUGGGGGGUGGAAAGAUUUAUCGGUGUGGGAUGAGCCCGCGGCCUAUCAGCUUGUUGGUGGGGUAAUGGCCUACCAAGGCGUCGACGGGUAGCCGGCCUGAGAGGGUGGACGGCCACAUUGGGACUGAGAUACGGCCCAGACUCCUACGGGAGGCAGCAGUGGGGAAUAUUGCACAAUGGGCGGAAGCCUGAUGCAGCGACGCCGCGUGGGGGAUGACGGCCUUCGGGUUGUAAACCUCUUUCGACAGGGACGAAGCUUCGGUGACGGUACCUGUAUAAGAAGCACCGGCUAACUACGUG
RNAcentral lists this ribosomal RNA (464 nucleotides) under uncultured bacterium. RNAcentral's name for it is "partial 16S ribosomal RNA". It matches the Rfam family "Bacterial small subunit ribosomal RNA", at positions 29 to 507 of the family's 1533-position model. The record is from RNAcentral.